This 497-nucleotide ribosomal RNA is filed under the name uncultured bacterium. RNAcentral's name for it is "partial 16S ribosomal RNA". It matches the Rfam family "Bacterial small subunit ribosomal RNA", at positions 28 to 507 of the family's 1533-position model. The record is from RNAcentral.
GAUGAACGCUGGCGGCGUGCCUAAUACAUGCAAGUCGAGCGAACAGACGAGGAGCUUGCUCCUCUGACGUUAGCGGCGGACGGGUGAGUAACACGUGGAUAACCUACCUAUAAGACUGGGAUAACUUCGGGAAACCGGAGCUAAUACCGGAUAAUAUAUUGAACCGCAUGGUUCAAUAGUGAAAGACGGUUUUGCUGUAACUUAUAGAUGGAUCCGCGCCGCAGUAGCUAGUUGGUAAGGUAACGGCUUACCAAGGCAACGAUGCGUAGCCGACCUGAGAGGGUGAUCGGCCACACUGGAACUGAGACUCGGUCCAGACUCCUACGGGAGGCCGCAGUAGGGACUCUUCCGCAAUGGGCGAAAGCCUGACGGAGCAACGCCGCGUGAGUGAUGAAGGUCUUCGGAUCGUAAAACUCUGUUAUUAGGGAAGAACAAAUGUGUAAGUAACUAUGCACGUCUUGACGGUACCUAAUCAGAAAGCCACGGCUAACUACGUG